GUUCAACAAUGAACAACUGGUACUGACGUCCACUGGAACAUGAACAAUGUUCAGGAAAGAGCAGAAGAAAAAAAAUGGAAAAACACAA
Molecule: long non-coding RNA, 88 nt
Organism: Sphaeramia orbicularis (orbiculate cardinalfish)
Lineage: Eukaryota; Metazoa; Chordata; Actinopteri; Kurtiformes; Apogonidae
Exons: 3
Source: RefSeq, a predicted model, not a curated record